CCUACGGGAGGCAGCAGUGGGGAAUAUUGCACAAUGGGCGGAAGCCUGAUGCAGCGACGCCGCGUGAGGGAUGAAGGCCUUCGGGUUGUAAACCUCUUUCAGCAGGGACGAAGCGUGAGUGACGGUACCUGCAGAAGAAGCACCGGCUAACUACGUGCCAGCAGCCGCGGUAAUACGUAGGGUGCGAGCGUUGUCCGGAAUUACUGGGCGUAAAGAGUUCGUAGGCGGUUUGUCGCGUCGUUUGUGAAAACCCGGGGCUCAACUUCGGGCUUGCAGGCGAUACGGGCAGACUUGAGUGUUUCAGGGGAGACUGGAAUUCCUGGUGUAGCGGUGAAAUGCGCAGAUAUCAGGAGGAACACCGGUGGCGAAGGCGGGUCUCUGGGAAACAACUGACGCUGAGGAACGAAAGCGUGGGUAGCAAACAGGAUUAGAUACCCUGGUAGUCCACGCCGUAAACGGUGGCGCUAGGUGUGGGUUCCUUCCACGGGAUCUGUGCCGUAGCUAACGCAUUAAGCGCCCCGCCUGGGGAGUACGGCCGCAAGGCUAAAACGUCAAAAGNGUAAGUAGGA
This 569-nucleotide ribosomal RNA is filed under the name uncultured bacterium. RNAcentral describes it as "bacterial SSU rRNA". It matches the Rfam family "Bacterial small subunit ribosomal RNA", at positions 338 to 918 of the family's 1533-position model. The record is from RNAcentral.